GCCACGGGUUCAUUCCGGCUUGGCUGGCUCCGCCCCUCAAGCGCCGGGCGGGGCUGUCCCCAGCUCUCUGCCGAGGUACAGCUUGUGUCUCAUCGAGUGUCUCCAUUAGUGUUUACAUUCUGUUAUAGAAGUUGUGUAUCUUCUUGCACCGCUCAGAUUCCUGAAAAGUGCAAGCUAUGUUUUGUUGGGCUAGGAAGGUGUGGCCUUUUGGGAUUUCUGACCAACCAGCCUUUUCAUAUGCAGAGAAGAUAACAGAAUUUGGCUUCUUAGAGCUGUACUCAGCCCGGAAAAAGUUUGUGUAGAGCAGGGUUUAGGUGCAAGACAGUUAUCCAGCUUACUCUGAAAAACUAUGUAGAAGCAAUUGAAGACCUAAAAUUUCAGCAAAUUUUUCAGUAAGCCCAUUACCACAGCUGACUGUAUAUACAGCUAUAAGCUUUUGGCACUCCUCAUCACCAAUCUUGUGAAGUCUCUGAUACUGUUCUUAUUUUACAGCCUUCCAGGUCGCUGGGAUCAUCAGUGUGUACCACCACCUGGGGCCAUGAGACUUUUAGUGACCAUGAGUGGAGAAUAGAUUAUUGGGAGGCAAAGACUAUAUACUUUGAAACAGAGAUUUGCUACUGGAGAUGCUAAUGGAUGCCUUUUAUGGAAAUCACAGAGAAAAUUCUGCAAAACUGUGGUUAAUUAAUAACAAGCUCAGUUCUCCCACUCAUAUUUUAAAUCCUACCAUGCUACCUCUUUGUACCUGGGAAAUAAAAAGUCUGCACAGUGGGAUAAAGGGUCUGUGCCAGAAGGCUGAAGGGUCUGCACUGGAGCCAGGAAGUGACCCUCAAAGGACCAGAGCUCCUCCAGAGAGAAUCACAGUCGUCCUCAGGGACGGCGAAGACUGGAGCUCCUCCAAGGAUGUGAGAAGCUGAGUUCAUAUCAGGAAAACCAGUGUGACAGCUUCUUCUCCAGGAGGAUCAACAGCACACCAGUUCUCCUUUUGUGUCUUGGCAGCAGUCUCAGCUGGGCUUUCCACACCGAAAGCUACACUGUUUCAGUUUAUCUGUGUGUUACAAGUUGACCUUAUUAAUCCACCACACUUACAGUCACAGAAUUGACCCCGUCACUGGUGCCAGUGUUUUGUGUGGGUCACUUCCCUGUCACUGGGAUAAAAUAUCCAAUAUCUGAAACUUAAAUGAGGACAGAUUUAUUUUGGAUCACAGUUUCAGCAGGUUCAGUCCUUGGUGGGCUGUCCUCAAGGCAGAGACAUCAUAGUGGCAAGCCUGGCAGAGGAAAGUCACUUGUGUAAUGCUGGCCGAGAAUCAGAGAGCAGAGAGAGGAGCCAGGGGGAACACAUCUGGUCACGCUCCCAGGGAACUGCCCCUUUUGUCUAGGCCUCACCUCCUAACAGCAUAUUCAGCUAUGAACUUACCAACGGACUGUUCCACUGAGACCCAAUCACUUUCAAAAUUCCCAUCUCAGGGCUGGGGAUUUAGCUCAGCGACAUAAGCACCUGCCUUGCAAGUGCACAGUCAUGAAUUUGAUUCCCUGGUAGAAAAAAAAAAAAUCCCCUUCUCUGACUAUAAGAAUUUGGGGGCCAUUUUAGAUGUUACCCGCAAUGCCACUGACAUCCGUCUUUCUGCCUCUGUCACCCAAAUGAAACUGUCUUCAUUGUGGUUACAAUUUCCUAAUCGCCAAAUCCAACAUUUCACUUUUAGUCUACUAUGGUUUAGGUGUAGGAUGUCAGACAAAGGCCAGGCAUUAGGAGUUUGGUCUGUGCUUUGCUGUUAUGCGGAGGUGGUAGAAACUAAAAGGGGGGUCAAGUAGGGAUCUUCAGGUCAUUAGAGCGGCACCUUUUAAGGGGCUGCUGAGAAUUCAUCCCUUUCCAUUUCUCUCUUUUAUUUUCUGGACUUGAAGUGAAGUCUUGCAUUAUGAUAAGCUGCUUCAUUGUACACCAAAAUAACAGAGCCUAUUUUUCAUAGAUUAAAGCCUUCAAAACUGAGUUGAGACAAAUCUUUUCCCUGUAUUAGUUGACUUAUCGCAAGUGUUUGUUACAAAGUUAGAAAGCUGACUAAGCAUUGUCCUUACAUCAUUUACACUUUGAGCAGCACAUGCUUGUUGACUAUCUCAUCUUUCAGUUCUGCCUUCUUUUGGUUUUGGGGCCGUUAGUCUCACAAAGUUAACUUCAUUUAUCUGUUCCAACCUUUCUGUCUCUUAUAGUUCUGUUAAAGCCCUAACUGUUGGUUUUCUUUAUCACUUUUUUUCAUCUCAAACUAUGUAUGAUUUAUUCUGUAUUUUGGUCAGUAAAUGCUUUCCAUGUGCUGAUGACUUUCAAUUAUAUAUUUUUCCUUUUCGUGUUCUACUUGAUAUCAGUUUUUUAUGGCUUCUUUUUAAUUUUUUUCUAUUUUAACAUUUUAAUUUUUAAAUUUAAAAUUAAAAAAUUAAUUUUAGAUGCCUCACAGAUGCCUAUUAUUUCUUCAAUAUCCUCUUUAAUUUCUAUCUAUCUAUCUAUCUAUCUACCUAUCUGUCCAUGUGUGCUGAAUAAUCUAUCAGGUCUCAUAAUUUUCACUCACCACAAUUUUUCUUUUUUUCAGUAAAUGAUUGCAUCUUCUUUGCAUCCUCUGAAAAAAGAAUUUAGGACCUGUGCUAUAUUUUUAUAUUGUACUCAUUUCCUCCUAUCUCACAGUAUUCAUUCAAAGAACUUAGAAUUGUUGCUUUUAGGUUGCGAAAUCUCAGCUGUAUUAUACGGAAUACUCACCGAUCACCUUGUUGACUAUGUCAGCCAUCUUCGCCAUUUCUAAUCCCAUUCUGUAAUUAUAAUUUCCAGGGUGACUUAUUAAUAGAAAGGUUAUGAUUCCUAACAUAUUGUAGGAUUAAGGGAACAUGAAGACCACAAUCUGCACUUUGCAUACCUUUCCCUCCUUACCACACAGUCCUCUCCCAGCUGCAUCCCCAUCCACUUACCAGUUUCCUAUUCAGACAUGUAGUUUCCACAGUGAUCUCAUGAGUCAUGCUUACUUUGUCUUCCUUUUUGCAGGAGAAUUCAUUUAGCAGCUUCAUCUUUGUUGCAUGCUGAAUAGGAUUAUUUUACUACAUAGUGUUUUUAGAACUUAAUUAUUUGUUAUGCAGGAAAAGAGAAAAGAAGAAAAAGAAAAAAUAUAUACACAAAAUAUUUAAGAUAGUUAUACUACUAAUUGUUAUUAGUUCAUUAAAAAGAAAGGUUUGUCCACUUCUGGGCAUAUUCCCAAAAGAACUGAAAACAUGAUACCACACUGAUAUAUGUGCACCUAUGUUUAUAGCAGCACAAUUUGUAAUAGCCAGGUCUUGGAAAAAACCUAAAUGUCCAUCAACUGAGGAAUGGAUAAAAAAGAUAUGGUAUUUUUGUACAAUGGAGUCCUACUCAGCUAUAAAGAAUGACCACAUUGAGGUAAAAAUAAAUGGACACCUUAGACCAUACUCAUAAGGGCAAUAAAUCAAACUCAUAUGUAUAAAUACUGUAUAGUCUCCCUAGUGUAAGAAAUGGUAAGAAUACAUAAGAUUUUAUGGGAAUCAUGGUUACCCAUUAUAUUGCUUUGAAGUCUUAUAAUGUUUUCAUUCAUUGAUUGGAAUGAUUUUAUUCUGUUUUGCUUGAUUUUAUUAUGUGUGAUGGUAUGAACUGCUACUUUGAAGAAAACAAGACAUUAUGGCAGCCAUUGCUGAUUUCCUACCAUCUUGCUUUAAAGUCAUACUAUACUUUUGUUCUGUUAUUUCCAUUGGUUCUCUCAUGUUGUGUCUUAUUGAAUUUUAACAUGUGUGGUAGUAUAAACAAAUUUUUUAUGGAAAAUGAGAUAAUAUAGUAGCCAUUGUUCGUUUUCUGUUAUUUGGGUUUCAGUGCCCUUUAAUACUUUCAUUCUCUUGAAUGGUUUUAUACUAUUUUGUUAAGUUUGAUAUCAUUGUGUGUGAAGGUAUGCUCAACUAUUUCAAAGAAAAGAGAUAUGGUAGCUACUGUUAAUAUAUGGUUGUCUUGUUGUGAAGUGCUGUGUUGCUUACAUUGUUCUGUUCUGAUUUGCUUUGUUCUGUCCUCUUUUAUUCUCUUUAAAAGAAAAAAAGAAAAGAAAGAUUUGUUUGAUCAAUUUUUCUUUUUUUCCGUUUCUUGUAGUCAGGAUUUUCUUUUUUUUAAAUUUUAUUUAAAAGGAAAAAGAGAAAAAACAAAACAAAACAAAUCAAAACAAAACAAAACAGUGUAAGGGUACAAGUAAUACAGAACUACAAAAAAAAAAAACACCCAGUAAAUCACCAGUUAAUAGAUUACACAUUAUCAUCUUAGAGAUAGUUGCUCAAGUCACAGGAUACAAAGUGGACAUUCAGAUAGUGAGACUGCAAAUAAUUGUGUUCAAUGAUCCAACAAAAACUCAGUAAUAUGGUCAUGUAUCCUAACACACCUAAACACACUUGCAGUUGUAUUCUUUAGAGCACUUUUUCCCCCCUCUCUUUUUUACAACAAAAUUUACAGAUUUGGGGUUUUAUUACUCCCAUAGUUCUUAUUACUUUUUUUUGGAAGAGAAUAAAACCAAAUAUGACAAAACAAAGCUGUCAGUCAAAACCAAGGAUAGACAUAGCACAUGAUGUAAAAACAGAGUACAAGGUUAUCAACAAUGGUUACCAUAAUGCCUCUUGCUUCCUUAAAUAGAAUUGCCUAUAUCAUUAGGUUUGAUAAAGUUGAAAAAAAAAACAGUACAGAACAAGACCAAUAAAACCUAAACAUUGGAAACAUUACAGGACUACAAAAGAAGAUAAUAGUCAAACCAGAAUGGGCAUCAUAGUGAAUCUUAUUGCCUUCAAAGUAGUUGCCUAUACCCUCAAACUUGAUACUAUCAAACAGAAUGGAACAGAGUCUAAAAUCAGUCAAAACAAGAUAGUGGGAAUUAUACAGGACUUCAAAUCAAGUACAUAGGAAAUCAAAAAAGUUACUAUACUAUAUCCUGCUAAUUUUUUGAUUUUUUCCCCUUAAUUAAAAAUAAUAAAAAAUAACUAAAUAAUUUUUUUAAUGAAUAAGGGAGAGAUUGAGUUAAAAGACAAUAACAACAUAACAAUACAGGUCAAAGCAUGACAAUUUCAGCAACCUAGUGCUUUACCACUAAAUAACCUGACUUAAUAGUAAUUACCGUAGUGUCUUUUUCCUUGAAAUAUUUGAAUAUAACUUCAUAUACUAUAGCAUCAAACAUACCAAGACAGUGUAAAACCAUUCAAGUGGAUGAAAGUAUUACAGGAUAUUUAGAACCAGCGAACAGAAAACGAACAAUGGUUUCUGUAUUAUCUCUUUGCCUAUAACAAUUUUUGUUUAUACUAUCACAUAUAAUAAAAUCCAGCAAAUACAACAUGAUAAAACCAAUGGAGAGAGAAGAGCCAUAGUUUGGUGGGGCUUCAAAACAAGAUGAUAUUAAAUCAGCACUAGCUGUUAUGAUGUCUUGUUUUCUUCAAACUAGCUAUUCAUUUCAUCACAAGCAAUAGUAUCAAGCAGCCCAGAAUAAAGCCAUUCCAAUUAAUGAAUGAAAACUUUAUAAGGCUUCAAGGCCACAUAAUGGGAAAUCAUGAUUACCACGUACUUUUAUAUGUUUGAAUCAUUUCUUACACUAGGGAAACUAUUCGGUAUUCACACCUGCGAGUUUGAUUUAUUUCACUUAUGAGUAUGGUCUAAAGCUGCGCCCAUUUAUUUAUAAAUAUCUCAAUGCGAUCCUUCUUUAUAGCUGAGUAGUACUCCAUCAUCUUGUUAUAUAAGCAACUACUUCAAAGUUAACAAUAUGCAAUAUACUAUCAAUUUACUCUCCUACAAUCUUGUUUUGAAAUUUUGUACCAUUGUUUUAUCUUUUCUUUAAAAUAAAAUAAAAAAUUAUAUAUGAUUUUCUAGUACCUUCAAAUAGAUUACAAAUUCCUGGAGAACCUAAAUUGCAUGUUACAUUUAAUUUUCAAUUUCCUACAAAAACCUACCCUAGUUUUAGUAGGCACUUAAAAGUAUUUGUUGAAUGAAUACUUAAAUAGUCGAAUAACACAUCAAAAAUAUUUUUUAAUGCAUAUCUAAUUUUAUGAAUUGUUAAUCACUGUUUCUAGUGACUGAGUUUAAGCAUAUAAAUUCUAGAUAAAUAGGAAAAUAUUUUUAAAAUCUUGAGAGCUUUCUUUCUUUCUUCCUUCCUUCCUUCCUUCCUUCCUUCCUUCCUUUCUUCCUUCCUUGGAAGAGCUAGGGAUUUGGAAAUUUAGAUUCACUUCAGUGGCCUGGUACUUUUCAGGUAUUAUCUUGAUGCUCUUCCUGAGUACUGUAGUGCAUUUAUUCAUAAAAUGUUGCUUACUACAUUAGUAACCUAAAUAUUUGGAUGGUUCUGAGUGAGUAAAACCUCUGUACAGUCCUGGGUAGGAGGGGAAACAUAUUUAUUAUUUAACCAAAUCAUGUAAAAAAGUGGAAAUAAAAAAUAUUUUAAGUAUUAGUGUGGAAAUGAAUACAAUGUAAUAAACACUCAUAAAAGAGUUUGACCUGAUGUUGGUUGUAGAGAAAGUGAUACCUGACAGCUUAGCCUCUCUAAAUCUCCAUUACUUUCUCUCUAGCUUGGCAAUAAGCCUUCAGUUCUGUAGAAUACUUUUGUAGAGUUUGGGUAAAAUACUAUGUAAAAGGGCUUUGAGAGUACACAGUAUCAUUUUCAUUGGAUACAAGCCUCCUGUGUACAUCAUGCUUCCUUCUUUUCAAAAUACAGUAGGGCUUUCCUGUGAGUAAAUAAAGCCUCAAAAUUCUUCCAAUGUUGAAUAAAUACUUUGUUAUUUUCUUUUUUUUUUCUUUGAACAAAAAUAAAUAUCCUGCCCAUGUCUUUCAAGUAUUUAGUUUUCAGUUUACACUUUCAGUCUUUCAGAGGUGGAUUCCAAGUCACUAUCACGUAGAUUUUUUUGGAUGAAUCUGCAAAAAUGGAAAGUGAAUUGAUGGGUUCCAUAAACCUUGGCAACACUGUUUGUGUUAGUCAGCCUUCUGUCACUAUGACAAAUACUGGAGAUGACCUUUAAGCGAAGGUUUGUUUGGCACACAGGUUUGGGUUCAUGAUUUGGUGGAUAUGGCUUUGAGGGAGGAAAUGCACCAUGAAGGGAAGGGGUAGUGGAGCAGUUAGUGAUUGUUUGGCAUGUUACUCUGUGUAGUUUCCUGGUCACUCCAUGUGGUUUCUUUAAAUAGCAGCCCAGGGCUCUAAAGAGUCAUGUCCUCGAGAGAGACGAAGUCCAAUGAUAGCACCUUAAUGACUUACCCUUGUAAGUCUCAUGGAAUCCCAUUCAUCAGAUGUUUGUCAUUCAUUUCAAUAUUUUGUCAUUC
Long non-coding RNA from Cavia porcellus (domestic guinea pig), 7303 nucleotides. RefSeq lists it as uncharacterized. NCBI's taxonomy places the organism in Eukaryota, Metazoa, Chordata, Mammalia, Rodentia, Caviidae. The transcript has 4 exons. The record is from RefSeq and is a predicted model, not a curated record.